GUGAGUCAUCGAAUCUUUGAACGCAAAUUGCACUCCUUGGUAUUCCGAGGAGUAUGCCUGUUUGAGUGCCAUGAAAACCCUCAACUCCAAGUUUGGUUAAUCCAAGUUUGGGUGUUGGACUUGGGCGUUUGUCAAUGAUGAAUUGACUCGCCUUAAAAAGCUGAGCUGGAUUAGUCUUUGUACUGGUUUCCCUAGGCGUAAUAAGUAUUUCGCUUAGGACACAAGUUCGCUUGUGGCCAGGACUCGGACAGCAAUCUGCUUUCUAUACCCCAUAUGUACUUGUGCAUAUAAUCUCUGACAUCUGGCCUCAAAUCAGGUAGGACUACCCGCUGAACUUAA
Molecule: ribosomal RNA, 339 nt
Filed under: uncultured fungus
Lineage: Eukaryota; Fungi
Description: eukaryotic LSU rRNA
Rfam family: 5.8S ribosomal RNA (bases 1-71)
Source: RNAcentral